CGGACGGGUGAGUAAUGCCUAGGAAAUUGCCUUGAUGUGGGGGAUAACCAUUGGAAACGAUGGCUAAUACCGCAUGAUGCCUACGGGCCAAAGAGGGGGACCUUCGGGCCUCUCGCGUCAAGAUAUGCCUAGGUGGGAUUAGCUAGUUGGUGAGGUAAUGGCUCACCAAGGCGACGAUCCCNNNNUGGNCUGAGAGGAUGAUCAGCCACACUGGAACUGAGACACGGUCCAGACUCCUACGGGAGGCAGCAGUGGGGAAUAUUGCACAAUGGGCGAAAGCCUGAUGCAGCCAUGCCGCGUGUAUGAAGAAGGCCUUCGGGUUGUAAAGUACUUUCAGUUGUGAGGAAGGGUGUGUAGUUAAUAGCUGCGCAUCUUGACGUUAGCAACAGAAGAAGCACCGGCUAACUCCGUGCCAGCAGCCGCGGUAAUACGGAGGGUGCGAGCGUUAAUCGGAAUUACUGGGCGUAAAGCGCAUGCAGGUGGUUCAUU
This 489-nucleotide ribosomal RNA is filed under the name Vibrio sp. HR05-11. Its description in RNAcentral is "bacterial SSU rRNA". It matches the Rfam family "Bacterial small subunit ribosomal RNA", at positions 99 to 584 of the family's 1533-position model. The record is from RNAcentral. Lineage: Bacteria; Pseudomonadati; Pseudomonadota; Gammaproteobacteria; Vibrionales; Vibrionaceae.